This 337-nucleotide unclassified non-coding RNA is filed under the name soil metagenome. RNAcentral's name for it is "partial contains 5.8S ribosomal RNA, internal transcribed spacer 2, and large subunit ribosomal RNA". The stretch from base 1 to 120 matches the Rfam family "5.8S ribosomal RNA", at positions 35 to 154 of the family's 154-position model. The record is from RNAcentral.
GAUGAAGAACGUAGCGAAAUGCGAUAAGUAGUGUGAAUUGCAGAUUUCAGUGAAUCAUCGAAUCUUUGAACGCACAUUGCGCCCCAUGGUAUUCCGUGGGGCAUGCCUGUUCGAGCGUCAUUUACCCCCUCAAGCUCCGCUUGGUGUUGGGCGUCUGUCCCGCUUCGCGCGCGGACUCGCCCCAAAGGUAUUGGCAGCGGUCGUGCCAGCUUCUCGCGCAGCACAUUGCGCUUCUCGAGGCACCGGUGGGCCCGCGUCCAUCAAGCUCACCCCCCCAGUUUGACCUCGGAUCAGGUAGGGAUACCCGCUGAACUUAAGCAUAUCAAUAAGCGGAGGA